This 260-nucleotide ribosomal RNA is filed under the name uncultured Bacillota bacterium. RNAcentral's name for it is "uncultured Firmicutes bacterium partial 16S ribosomal RNA". It matches the Rfam family "Bacterial small subunit ribosomal RNA", at positions 338 to 590 of the family's 1533-position model. Lineage: Bacteria; Bacillati; Bacillota. The record is from RNAcentral.
CCUACGGGGGGCAGCAGUAGGGAAUCUUCCACAAUGGACGAAAGUCUGAUGGAGCAACGCCGCGUGAGUGAAGAAGGUUUUCGGAUCGUAAAACUCUGUUGUCAGAGAAGAACGUGUGCGAGAGUAACUGUUCGUGCAGUGACGGUAUCUGGCCAGAAAGCCACGGCUAACUACGUGCCAGCAGCCGCGGUAAUACGUAGGUGGCAAGCGUUGUCCGGAUUUAUUGGGCGUAAAGGGAACGCAGGCGGUCUUUUAAGUCU